AAGUAAUGAUGAGUGAACUUGGUUACCUUUGCAGACCUUUGCAGAAACAUCACCCUGAGCUUGU
Small nucleolar RNA from Homo sapiens (human), 64 nucleotides. The record is from RefSeq and is marked provisional. Lineage: Eukaryota; Metazoa; Chordata; Mammalia; Primates; Hominidae.